CCUACCGGAGGCAGCAGCAGUGGGGAAUUUUGGACAAUGGGGGCAACCCUGAUCCAGCAAUGCCGCGUGAGUGAAGAAGGCCUUCGGGUUGUAAAGCUCUUUUGUCGGGGAAGAAACGGUUCAUCUUAAUACGGUGGGCUAAUGACGGUACCCGAAGAAUAAGCACCGGCUAACUACGUGCCAGCAGCCGCGGUAAUACGUAGGGUGCAAGCGUUAAUCGGAAUUACUGGGCGUAAAGCGUGCGCAGGCGGUUAUGUAAGACAGAUGUGAAAUGCCCGGGCUCAACCUGGGAACUGCAUUUGUGACUGCAUGGCUAGAGUGUGUCAGAGGGGGGUAGAAUUCCACGUGUAGCAGUGAAAUGCGUAGAGAUGUGGAGGAAUACCGAUGGCGAAGGCAGCCCCCUGGGAUAACACUGACGCUCGUGCACGAAAGCGUGGGGAGCAAACAGGAUUAGAUACCCUGGUAGUCCACGCCCUAAACGAUGUCUACUAGUUGUCGGGUCUUAAUUGACUUGGUAACGCAGCUAACGCGUGAAGUAGACCGCCUGGGGAGUACGGUCGCAAGAUUAAAACUCAAAUGAAUUGACGG
This 588-nucleotide ribosomal RNA is filed under the name uncultured beta proteobacterium. RNAcentral's name for it is "bacterial SSU rRNA". It matches the Rfam family "Bacterial small subunit ribosomal RNA", at positions 338 to 916 of the family's 1533-position model. Lineage: Bacteria; Pseudomonadati; Pseudomonadota; Betaproteobacteria. The record is from RNAcentral.